AAGCACAACUCUCUUCAUCUUGAAGCAAUAACACGUACAAGACAAAACCAUGUUCUGCUGCUGAAACACAUAUAUGAAGAGUUUCUUCAUGCACUUUAUGUGCACUUGUCCUGGGAAAUUGUGUGUUGUGA
Molecule: long non-coding RNA, 131 nt
Filed under: Anas platyrhynchos platyrhynchos (common mallard)
Lineage: Eukaryota; Metazoa; Chordata; Aves; Anseriformes; Anatidae
Description: lncRNA (ENSAPLG00000018154.1)
Source: RNAcentral